GAUGAACGCUGGCGGCGUGCCUAAUACAUGCAAGUCGAACGCUGGAACUCUAGCUUGCUCGCUUGAAGGAGUGGCGAACGGGUGAGUAAUACAUAAGCAACCUACCCACGAAGACUGGGAUAAUCUCUGGAAACGGGGACUAAUACCGGAUAGGUAAUCGGAAGGCAUCUUCUGAUUAUUAAAGGUUAAAAACACUGGUGGAUGGGCUUAUGGCGCAUUAGUUAGUUGGUGAGGUAACGGCCCACCAAGACGAUGAUGCGUAGCCGGCCUGAGAGGGUGAACGGCCACAUUGGGACUGAGACACGGCCCAGACUCCUACGGGAGGCAGCAGUAGGGAAUUUUCGGCAAUGGGGGAAACCCUGACCGAGCAACGCCGCGUGAGUGAUGACGGCCUUCGGGUUGUAAAGCUCUGUUGUAAGGGAAGAACGGUAGAUAGAGAAUAUCUAAAUGACGGUACCUUACCAGAAAGCCACGGCUAACUACGUG
RNAcentral lists this ribosomal RNA (486 nucleotides) under uncultured bacterium. Its description in RNAcentral is "partial 16S ribosomal RNA". It matches the Rfam family "Bacterial small subunit ribosomal RNA", at positions 28 to 507 of the family's 1533-position model. The record is from RNAcentral.